RNAcentral lists this transfer RNA (69 nucleotides) under Gari elongata. RNAcentral describes it as "tRNA-Ile". The record is from RNAcentral. Lineage: Eukaryota; Metazoa; Mollusca; Bivalvia; Cardiida; Psammobiidae.
GGUGUUGUGCCAGAUAAAUGGGCCAUCUUGAUGUGGUGUAAUAUGUAGGUGAGAGUCCUUCCAGCACUU